GGGGGGGGGGGGGGGGGUUCCCUGCAGUGGGAGGAGAGACCCCGGGGUCCCCCUUCCCGCUGUCCCUUGCUCAGUUCCAUGCAGAGUGCUCCGUGCCUCAGUUUCCCCAGAGGACAGGGCAGGUUUGGGGGCCUGGGGCUGGCCUCACCGCUCACCCCUUCUCUCCUCGGCCAGCGCUGAACGAGCCCACCAUCGACUACGGGUUCCAGCGCCUGCAGAAGGUCAUUCCCCGGCACCCCGGAGACCCCGAGCGCUUGCCCAAGGAGGUGCUGCUGAAGCGGGCGGCCGACCUGGUGGAGGCUCUCUACGGGAUGCCGCACAGCAACCAGGAUUCCCCGGGCGC
RNAcentral lists this long non-coding RNA (343 nucleotides) under Anser cygnoides (Swan goose). RNAcentral's name for it is "lncRNA (ENSACDG00005014134.1)". Lineage: Eukaryota; Metazoa; Chordata; Aves; Anseriformes; Anatidae. The record is from RNAcentral.